Non-coding RNA from Parelaphostrongylus tenuis, 70 nucleotides. The record is from the annotation of a GenBank genome assembly. NCBI's taxonomy places the organism in Eukaryota, Metazoa, Nematoda, Chromadorea, Rhabditida, Metastrongylidae.
ACGUCGGUGGUGCAGUGGUAGCACGCGUCCCCGACAUGGAUGAAACGCGGUUCGAUUCCCGCCUGAAGCU